AGUGAACGCUGGCGGUAGGCCUAACACAUGCAAGUCGAACGGCAGCACAGUAAGAGCUUGCUCUUACGGGUGGCGAGUGGCGGACGGGUGAGGAAUACAUCGGAAUCUACUUUUUCGUGGGGGAUAACGUAGGGAAACUUACGCUAAUACCGCAUACGACCUACGGGUGAAAGCAGGGGAUCUUCGGACCUUGCGCGAUUGAAUGAGCCGAUGUCGGAUUAGCUAGUUGGCGGGGUAAAGGCCCACCAAGGCGACGAUCCGUAGCUGGUCUGAGAGGAUGAACAGCCACAUGGGAACUGGGACAGGGUCCAGACUCCUACGGGAGGCAGCAGUGGGGAAUAUUGGACAAUGGGCGCAAGCCUGAUCCAGCCAUACCGCGUGGGUGAAGGAGGCCUUCGGGUUGUAAAGCCCUUUUGUUGGGAAAGAAAAGCAGCAGGUUAAUACCCCGCUGUUCUGACGGUACCCAAAGAAUAAGCACCGGCUAACUUCGUG
RNAcentral lists this ribosomal RNA (492 nucleotides) under uncultured bacterium. RNAcentral's name for it is "partial 16S ribosomal RNA". It matches the Rfam family "Bacterial small subunit ribosomal RNA", at positions 29 to 507 of the family's 1533-position model. The record is from RNAcentral.